AUGGCUCAGAUUGAACGCCGGCGGCAGGCUUAACACAUGCAAGUCGAACGGUUUUGAGUACUUGUACUUAAGAUAGUGGCGAACGGGUGAGUAAUGCCUAGGAAUCUGCCGAUUAAUGGGGGAUAACGUUCCGAAAGGAACGCUAAUACCGCAUACGCCCUACGGGGGAAAGCAGGGGAUCUUCGGACCUUGCGUUAAUUGAUGAGCCUAGGUCGGAUUAGCUAGUUGGUGAGGUAAAGGCUCACCAAGGCGACGAUCUGUAGCGGGUCUGAGAGGAUGAUCCGCCACACUGGGACUGAGACACGGCCCAGACUCCUACGGGAGGCAGCAGUGGGGAAUAUUGGACAAUGGGCGGAAGCCUGAUCCAGCCAUGCCGCGUGUGUGAAGAAGGCCUUUAGGUUGUAAAGCACUUUAAGCGGGGAGGAGGCUACCUGGGAUAAUACCCUGGAGUAGUGGACGUUACCCGCAGAAUAAGCACCGGCUAACUCUGUG
RNAcentral lists this ribosomal RNA (492 nucleotides) under uncultured bacterium. RNAcentral's name for it is "bacterial SSU rRNA". It matches the Rfam family "Bacterial small subunit ribosomal RNA", at positions 19 to 507 of the family's 1533-position model. The record is from RNAcentral.